This 356-nucleotide ribosomal RNA is filed under the name Tepidibacter thalassicus DSM 15285. RNAcentral's name for it is "bacterial LSU rRNA". It matches the Rfam family "Bacterial large subunit ribosomal RNA", at positions 1199 to 1559 of the family's 2925-position model. The record is from RNAcentral. Lineage: Bacteria; Bacillati; Bacillota; Clostridia; Peptostreptococcales; Peptostreptococcaceae.
GCUACGGCAGUACAAAGUACUGGGUAGGGGAGCAUUCACUACGGGCAGAAGCUAAACCGGAAGGAUUGGUGGACUGUAGUGAAGAGAGAAUGUUGGCAUGAGUAGCGAGACGUAGGUGAGAAUCCUACGGGCCGAAAACCUAAGGUUUCCUGAGGAAGGUUCGUCCGCUCAGGGUAAGUCGGGACCUAAGCCGAGGCCGAAAGGCGUAGGUGAUGGACAACAGGUUGAGAUUCCUGUACCACCGAUAACCGUUUGAGGGAAGGGAUGACGCAGAAGGAUAGGCUAUCCUACUGAUGGAGAAGUAGGUCCAAGCAUUGAGGGAGUUUUGGUAGGCAAAUCCGCCAAAACAAAUCCUA